Molecule: ribosomal RNA, 718 nt
Filed under: Syrphetodes crenatus
Lineage: Eukaryota; Metazoa; Arthropoda; Insecta; Coleoptera; Ulodidae
Description: eukaryotic LSU rRNA
Rfam family: Eukaryotic large subunit ribosomal RNA
Source: RNAcentral
CCGUUAUCUCGCAUUUUAGAGGCGCGUCCAAGUCCUUCUUGAACGGGGCCACAGCCCACAGAGGGUGCCAGGCCCGUAGAGACCGCUUCUAUUUGCGAGAGGAUCUCUCCUCAGAGUCGGGUUGCUUGAAAGUGCAGCCCUAAGUGGGUGGUAAACUCCAUCUAAGGCUAAAUAUGACCACGAGACCGAUAGCGAACAAGUACCGUGAGGGAAAGUUGAAAAGUACUCUGAAGAGAGAGUUCAAUAGUACGUGAAACCGUUUAGGGGUAAACCUGAGAAACCCGAAAGGUCGAACGGGGAGAUUCAGCGUGUCUUGACAAUGGCACUGUGACCGUUGUGCGACGARCUUUUCCAUCUCUUCAUUGAGUUUGGUUGGUUUGCGUCUUCAGUUCAGUUUUGACCUAGUUGAACGCGUGCACUUCUCCCCCAGUAGGACGUUGUGAUUCGUUGGGUGCCGGUCUAAGGCCCAUGGUGGAGCCCGUUUACUUGGCUUGUCCUUGUUGAACGGACCCAUGGUGUUCCCGGCCGGCACGCUCGACGAUAUACAGAAUGGCGCAAGGCCGCUACACUUUUAGUUAGCGUUUGACCUACGGCAAGCGCGCUUGUUGUGUUGGUGAUCGGACCUAGUGCCGGUCCCGACCACUUGUGGCUGUUCGCUGUAGUGUUCUCAAACAGAUCUUGAUGAAACGCCGAUCUACAACGCUAUAGCUUUGGGUAC